This 473-nucleotide ribosomal RNA is filed under the name Grammothele sp. Its description in RNAcentral is "SSU rRNA". It matches the Rfam family "Bacterial small subunit ribosomal RNA", at positions 434 to 941 of the family's 1533-position model. Lineage: Eukaryota; Fungi; Basidiomycota; Agaricomycetes; Polyporales; Polyporaceae. The record is from RNAcentral.
UGUCGUAAGGGAAAAUAAUGAUAGUACCUUACUAAUAGUGUCGUCCAAAUCUAGUGCCAGAAGACUCGGUAAGACCAGAGACGCAAACGUUAAUCAUCUUAAGCAGGCGUAAAGGGUAAGUAGGCAGCUCCCAGAUAGAAGACAAUUACGAAAUAAAGUCGUCUUAUUGGGAGAUAGAAUCAAAUGGAGGUCAAACCGUAUAACGCUCGGGGGAGGGCUGAUAUCCUUAGAUCCUGAGUAGAAUACUAAGGGCGCAGGCCACUGACCACUAAUGAUUGACGCUGAGGAACGAAGGUUAGGGUAGGAAAUAGGAUUAGAUACCCCGGUACUCCUUUCUGUAAACGAUGAAUGGUAGUCAUUAGAAAACAAUUUUUAGAGACGAAGUUAACACGAUAACCAUUCCGCCUUGUGAGUACUAUUGCAAAGUAGAAAACAAAAAAAUUAGUCGGUCUCGAAGCAAACGGAGUGAAGCA